This 450-nucleotide ribosomal RNA is filed under the name uncultured bacterium. RNAcentral describes it as "bacterial SSU rRNA". It matches the Rfam family "Bacterial small subunit ribosomal RNA", at positions 349 to 793 of the family's 1533-position model. The record is from RNAcentral.
CAGCAGUGGGAAUAUUGCACAAUGGGGGAAACCCUGAUGCAGCCAUGCCGCGUGUGUGAAGAAGGCCUUCGGGUGUAAAGCACUUUCAGUCGUGAGGAAGGUAGUGUAGUUAAUAGCUGCAUUAUUUGACGUUAGCGACAGAAGAAGCACCGGCUAACUCCGUGCCAGCAGCCGCGGUAAUACGGAGGGUGCGAGCGUUAAUCGGAAUUACUGGGCGUAAAGCGCAUGCAGGUGGUUUGUUAAGUCAGAUGUGAAAGCCCCGGGGCUCAACCUCGGAAUAGCAUUUGAAACUGGCAGACUAGAGUCUUGUAGAGGGGGUAGAAUUUCAGGUGUAGCGGUGAAAUGCGUAGAGAUCUGAAGGAAUACCAGUGGCGAAGGCGGCCCCCUGGACAAAGACUGACGCUCAGAUGCGAAAGCGUGGGGAGCAAACAGGAUUAGAUACCCUGGUAG